RNAcentral lists this ribosomal RNA (413 nucleotides) under uncultured bacterium. RNAcentral's name for it is "bacterial SSU rRNA". It matches the Rfam family "Bacterial small subunit ribosomal RNA", at positions 30 to 444 of the family's 1533-position model. The record is from RNAcentral.
AUUGAACGCUGGCGGCAUGCCUUACACAUGCAAGUCGAACGGCAGCACGGGAGCAAUCCUGGUGGCGAGUGGCGAACGGGUGAGUAAUAUAUCGGAACGUGCCCAGUCGUGGGGAUAACGUAGCGAAAGCUACGCUAAUACCGCAUACGAUCUAUGGAUGAAAGCGGGGGAUCGCAAGACCUCGCGCGAUUGGAGCGGCCGAUAUCAGAUUAGGUAGUUGGUGAGGUAGAGGCUCACCAAGCCGACGAUCUGUAGCUGGUCUGAGAGGACGACCAGCCACACUGGGACUGAGACACGGCCCAGACUCCUACGGGAGGCAGCAGUGGGGGAAUUUUUGGACAAUGGGCGCAAGCCUGAUCCAGCAAUGCCGCGUGCAGGAUGAAGGCCUCGGUUGUAACUAGCUUUGUUACGGU